GCAUCAUCGUUGCCGAAACCAAAACCCAAUGAAACUCCUCCGUGUUUCAUUCACCGCCACCGUCAAAACAUUUCGCGCCACCUUCCGAAACGGCGUGUCUCCGCCGAACGUUAACACUUACAGCGUCAUGAUCCUCCGUGGCUUAUGGUGAAAGGUAAAAUGAGAUGAAAUGGGUAAUUCAAAGCACAUUGAGGAGCUGUAAUCUCUAUGAUUCUAUAGUACUUGAUGAAAUUGAUCUUAUUGAAUGUGAACUUGAUGCUCUUUUGGUUUUGCUAGCUGAAAUAGCUAUUGAUGGUCUGUUACUUGAUGGUGGAAUGUGGUCAUAUGCUUCAGCAAGUACCAAAUAUCUUUGGUUUUGCUUGUUGAACUCUGUUAUCACUUAUCAUAAACCUUUUACCUGGAACUCUACAGAUUUCAAAGACCUCCUUCUAUACCAGGUUAUUUAAAUAAAUAAAACCCUCUGAACACAAGUUGCCUGAGUUUGUAAUUUGAUGUUGUUUUUAGCUAGUCUUCAUCCUCAAGCUGAUUGUGUUAUUGCAUACAACUCCUAGCUUGCAGGGGGUGUUAAUUAGGUUAUUAGUUCUCUAUUAUAUUUUCUGUUAUUCAUCAGUUUCUAGUUUCCUAUAGUUAGUUAAAGCCUCUCUUAGAAGCAUACUUUAAUUCUCUCUGCUAUAUAAGAGGAUUUAUCUGUAAACUCAAUGUUAAUCUGAAAUAUACAGAUUCACUUCACAUUUGUUUCUCUUUGGAGGCAUUUCUGUUACCCUGAUUUUCCUGAUAUUCAGGUUUCUGAUAACCUGAAUGUAUUCUGAAGUUCAGAGCUACUCACCCAGAAUUGAUUGUGACUACAAAAUCAAUUAUAGAAGAGUUUCCAAACAUGUACUAAGCACAUAAUCUGCUCAUGUUUCUGCGGUUUAUGAAUGUUGGUAAUAGUAUACCUGUUGAGUGAGCGAGCUUGAUCUAUUGCUCCUCAAUUUUGGGAUUGUUGCAUUACUUCCUUUCCUAUUCCUUCUCCAUCACUUUUAAUUCAGCAUGUUAUUGGGAACUUGCUUGUUUCUUUUGGCCUCGGACAUCAUCAGGAUGAUGUGUGAUCUGUUGAAAUGAGAAGGUGGACACUGCGGUCACUGCCCCAUGGUUGUUAAUUCAUUAAAAGUGAGAAGCCUUAUAUUGUGUUUGGAUUAAUCACACACAUGCAGUGGCAUAGAACGUACUUUUCUGAGCCUUGCAAGUUGCAAUAGACAACAUAACUGUGUGUGCAUUGGGCUCAAUGGGCUCUCCAUCACAUUCUUUCUCCAGAAUCACCAUCACUACCGUUGAGUCCCUUAUUUCAGGAUUCCAUACAAUUUAUAUGAUUGCAUUUCCAGUUUUUCAUUCAUUUCAGGAUUCUCUGGAACCAGCCUCUUCAAUUCUCUUAUAGUGAGUGUGCUUGACAAUGAUCUUUGUGAAGAAACCAUGUUGCAGUAUCCACAAAUUUUAUUACCAAGCUGGGAGGUUUGUUAUUAUGUUGCAACUUGAGUUGCUGUUUUAAAUGCUACAGUUUGUCCUCAUUUUUGGGUAAUUCUUAGUUCAGUACUGCAAGUGAGCAAAAUUACCCAUUUUUCAUGACAGAACAAUCAAAUUUAUAAUCAGUGAACCUUUUCAACUAACUAACUAAAGUGGAAAAUAUUUGUUUAACUUGAACAUUGUAACAACACUGGUAAUCAUAAAAUUGACUCUGAAUAUUGGAACAGGCUUCUAAUUCCUAGUAUAUUUGCUGGAUGGUUUGCACGAUUUGAUUUCUCUGGUACCAUGUCAAAUAACCAAUUAUCCCAAAACCUGAAACUGUUAGAUAAGGGUCACAUGAAUGAUUUUAAUUUAUAUUUUAAGAAUAGUUAAAGUUAAAGAGGUGAUGAGUUCAUUAGAAGCUUUAGAGUUUAUUUGAAUUCCAUUUUCAAUUUUGAUUCACCUUACAGGCGCAUGCACUACUUACUAAUUAUUUUUUUCUUGCAAGUACGGAAGUACCUAUGCUAUGCAUGCACAUGUUUUUGCUCUCAGACGGAAAGUUCCUUAUUCCUUUCACCCCCUACAAGAUGAAUAGCUCCUCUUAAUGAGGGUGGUCCCAAGCUAGCUCAACGCCAAGAAAUCAUCAGAGGCAAUAGCUUUGAGAUUAAUCUCUCGCCCCGCAAUCAACACACUAAGCAGUAGGGGUUAUCAAGAGGUUUCUUCCAUUCAUAAGAGCUGGGAGACUUGGGAUAGAAAACAUGAUAGGAUAAGAAAUCAUUUUACGUUCACACCCUGCCCUAGCUCUCCUCUCUCUUCUGCGAGAGCCUUCCCUACUAGAGCAGCUCCGUCAGCCGCCAUGCUCCUAGCCGUAGAUGUCACGCUGCUGGUCGCAGCAUUCGCCGUGCAGGGUUUGGACUGGGCGGGACAUAAAGGAUACUUAUGCCCGCCCGAAUCAAGCGAUCAGACGAACGAAAUCAGCCUUGGCGGGAUUCAUGGAACAACAUUGGAUCCCGCCCUUCCCUUUAGCCAGGCCCACACGCCAGCUGGAGUUGACAAGGCGCCACGUUCAGAAAGGAAAGAACGUGACAUAUAAAGGGCGAGAAGGGAAGUUUGAUAUUCAGAUCCAAGAAAAAGUAACCAUAAACAAAAAAGAAGUCGGGCGAUUCCUCAGAAGAUUCCUUGCGUAAAAGAACGAAAUCAUCCUCGCCGCAUGGAAGAACAUUCAACAGGUGAUCUACAUUAUUAGAGGUGGCGGGAUUUAUCUUUGUAAACCCUUGGGAAGAUAUUCGAAGCGAGUUAAUACUCCCAAUACUGCCCCAUAUGGAACGCAAUAGACAUUUAUCCUCAACCAAAUGUGCGUUUGAACGUCAUUCGGGUGAAGACAAAUCUCCAUUAGAGGAGAGAAUAGAAUCAACGGAGCCGGCGGGACCGGAAUCCUCGUGAGUGGAAGGCGAGGAAUAAAUUUCGAUAACAGUAGGGGCAGAAACUUCCCCCUCCGUUGAAGGUGAGGAGAGCUCUAAGGAAGAAAUGCUAAAAUUUUGCAUCGACAUACUGGGUAAUUUCAUAAAAAAUAAAAAGAAGAUGAACAGGUCCAAAAAGAAAAAAGAAGAAGACGAACAGUGUCAAGAAAAGAGAAAGAGAACGGACUCACCGGAGGAAGAAGUGGAGGAUUGAGUAAAGAGGAUGUCGGCUAUGGGAGAGCACCGCGCAAUGACGACGGCCGGGGUGACGGAGAUUCGCCGGAGUUCAAAGAGGAGAAAGUGAGAAAUUGCAGAGAAGGAUUGAGGGAAAAAGGUUUUCAGAAAAGUGAAAAGUGAAAAGUAAAAAGGGUAUUUAUAGAGGAAAAAGGAAGAGAGAGAACGAGUGGGAAAGAUCGUGAAGGGUCGUGGGAUUUGAAAUUUGAAAAGGUAUGAAACGAAAAGACAUAACUCCUCGAGACGCACAACUGCAUUCAUGGCAAAUGAUGACGAAAUCCCGGAAAAGAAGGAUACGUGCGUCAGUUGAAAAGACGUGAUUGACGGUUAUGAUGACGGCGAUGUAUCAACGAAAAUAAAAAUGGCGAUAUAGUGAGGAAUAAAAAUGGCGAUAUAAAAAUGGCCUUAUUGACAAAACAACGGAAUGGCGAGAAAAGCAUAAGCAAGAAUGUGACAACAGGCGUACAACCGCAAAGAACAGCGGUAUGCACAUCAAAGGGCGACCAAUCAAGGUGGACUAUAAAGCAGCACAUUAAGACAUUUCGACUCAAGGAACCUGAGCCUCAUGUCUUGGGGGCAUGUGGACUGGGCGGGACAUAAAGGAUACUUAUGCCCGCCCGAAUCAAGCGAUCAGACGAACGAAAUCAGCCUUGGCAGGAUUCAUGGAACAACAUUGGAUCCCGCCCUUCCCUUUAGCCAGGCCCACACGCCAGCUGGAAGAUUCCUUUAGAUUUGUCUUAUAUGUAUAGAGACUUGGGCCCCGGUUGUCAGGCCCAUGUACAGUGAAAGUCCACAUCAAUGAUCACUCCCUCUAUAAAAGGAGAGGUCAACACCUUGUAAAAAGGACCUUUUGAACAUUUAAUGAGAAUAUUCCUUUUAUGAUAUUUUUAGUACUCUGCUAGGGUUUACUUUCUGUCAGUCUCUUACGUCAGAUCUCCCUAGUACAGA
Long non-coding RNA from Lotus japonicus, 4121 nucleotides. RefSeq lists it as uncharacterized. The record is from RefSeq and is a predicted model, not a curated record. The transcript has 4 exons. Lineage: Eukaryota; Viridiplantae; Streptophyta; Magnoliopsida; Fabales; Fabaceae.